GACGAACGCUGGCGGCGUGCUUAACACAUGCAAGUCGAACGGAAAGGCCCUGCUUCUGUGGUGUGCUCGAGUGGCGAACGGGUGAGUAACACGUGAGUAACCUGCCCUUGACUUUAGGGUAACUUCAGGAAACUGGGGCUAAUACCGGAUAGGAGCUCCUGCUGCAUGGAGGGGGUUGGAAAGUUUCGGCGGUUGGGGAUGGACUCGCGGCUUAUCAGCUUGUUGGUGGGGUAGUGGCUUACCAAGGCUUUGACGGGUAGCCGGCCUGAGAGGGUGACCGGCCACCUUGGGCCUGAGAUACGGCCCAGACUCCUACGGGAGGCAGCAGUGGGGAAUCUUGCACAAUCGGCGGAAGCCUGAUGCAGCAACGCCGCGGGUGGGAUGACGGCCUUCGGGUUGUAAACCGCUUUAGCCUGUGACGAAGCGUGAGUGACGGUAAUGGGUAAAGAAGCACCGGCUAACUACGUG
This 468-nucleotide ribosomal RNA is filed under the name uncultured bacterium. RNAcentral's name for it is "partial 16S ribosomal RNA". It matches the Rfam family "Bacterial small subunit ribosomal RNA", at positions 28 to 507 of the family's 1533-position model. The record is from RNAcentral.